CUGUAGUCAAUUAAGCUGACCAGCCCCCUCUCCCCAUGGGUCCUGGUGUGCAGUGGCUGCGGACAGCAGCCUUCUUGGUAGUGUACAUGGCCUGUUGCUUUUACGGGCUGCCCUAAGGCACCUGGGAGACAGCC
This 134-nucleotide small nucleolar RNA is filed under the name Dasypus novemcinctus (nine-banded armadillo). Its description in RNAcentral is "Small nucleolar RNA SNORA70 (ENSDNOG00000036953.1)". It matches the Rfam family "Small nucleolar RNA SNORA70". From Rfam's summary of the family: snoRNA U70 seems to be exclusive to mammals and is a member of the H/ACA class of snoRNA which contain H (ANANNA) and ACA box motifs. Lineage: Eukaryota; Metazoa; Chordata; Mammalia; Cingulata; Dasypodidae. The record is from RNAcentral.